This 463-nucleotide ribosomal RNA is filed under the name uncultured bacterium. RNAcentral describes it as "partial 16S ribosomal RNA". It matches the Rfam family "Bacterial small subunit ribosomal RNA", at positions 28 to 507 of the family's 1533-position model. The record is from RNAcentral.
GAUGAACGCUGACAGCAUGCUUAACACAUGCAAGUCUUUGGCGAAGCUGUGCUUGCACAGCCUAGCCAAGGCGGACGGGUGAGUAACGCGUAAGGAACUUGCCCUGCAGUCAGGGAUAACAGACGGAAACGACUGAUAAGACCUGGUAAAGUCAGGCGGACUCAUGUCCAGCCUGAUGAAAAGAGAUGCUGCAGGAGAGCCUUGCGUCCUAUUAGCUUGUUGGUGGGGUAACGGCCCACCAAGGCGAUGAUAGGUAGCCGGCCUGAGAGGGUGGACGGCCACAAGGGGACUGAGAUACGGCCCUUACUCCUACGGGAGGCAGCAGUGGGGAAUAUUGGACAAUGGGGGCAACCCUGAUCCAGCAAUUCUGUGUGCACGAUGAAGGUUUUCGGAUUGUAAAGUGCUUUCAGCAGGGAAGAAAAAAAUGACGGUACCUGCAGAAGAAGCGACGGCUAAAUACGUG